This is a long non-coding RNA of Pan troglodytes (chimpanzee), 1267 nucleotides long. RefSeq lists it as uncharacterized. The record is from RefSeq and is a predicted model, not a curated record. NCBI's taxonomy places the organism in Eukaryota, Metazoa, Chordata, Mammalia, Primates, Hominidae. The transcript has 5 exons.
GAUUCUUGGAUAAUAGAAAUUCUUCCUAAAACAUACUCAGAGAUGCAGCUCAUUAUUAAAUUAAGAAGUGAUAUGUUGGACUCUGUUGUAGAAGAAUGAGCACUAGUAUUCAGCAACAAGUGCAAUUUCUCCAUGUUAUGUUGAGCUCUGUUGGAGCCUAUGGUCCCAUCUGGGAGGUUACUUACCAAGUGGCACAGUGUGGGAAUGAUCUGGAGUUUGCAGCAAGUGCCCAGCAGAGCUGCUGCAUUAUCUGGCAUUUCUGCAGGAGAGAAAAAUCACAGUCACAGUCCAAAAAAACAAGUCCAUGGGAACAGAGCCAGCCCCUGGAUGGCACCUAACUUAUAUUUUAGUACUUUCCCGCCAGCCAGGCAGGGGAGGUACUCAGCAGUUGUUGAGUUAGUGAAUGAAUGGUGCUAAAUGGGCAGCAAAGACCUUGUAGAAAACAGAUGUAGGAACCCAGCUGCCAGCUCUGCAUUCCACAGAGGAUACUCCUUGACAUUGAAUUUACCAAAUGGAAAGAACUGCCCAGACUCUGGGGGAAGGAAAGGAAACAGCAUGGAAAAGCAGACCCUGCCAUCUGGUGACAGAAGAGUGAUGUUUGAGACCCUCCACACAUUCAGGCUGCAGCCUCAGCAGGAAGAUGAAGACGGAAAGCCUAUGUGGCCUAGCGUAUCCAGCUGAGCCUCUGUCCCCAGCCAUCUCAUCUGCCAUUACUGCCCUGCCUUCACUUUCCAGGGUGGCUCCUGGGACCCAGCCCUCAGGUUUGUUGAGGCAGCCCUAGGAAAUUAACGCCUCCCUCUACCAGAUGCCAGCUACCUGUCUGCACUUAGAAAACGCAGGACCCAAGAGUCAGAAAAGAGACAGCUGUAGCGAGAAAAGGAGGUGGGGGAACCUUUAACACAAUUCCAUCCUGCCUCGUCCCCUGUUCCAGAAAACCCCAGUGAAAACACUGCCUUGAGAUGUCUCAGGGCUCACCACUGGUUCCAGGACCAUGAGUAGUUCAUCAUCAAAUAGGACCGCCUGAAAGAUGUCACUCAAAGCUGUCUGUCGUGGCUCAGGCAGCUCCGCAAAUGGAUGGAAAUUCCUCUCCAGGAGCAGGGUCGCUGUGAAAACAAAGCACACCCAAGUCUCAUGACCGCGAUGCACAUCUCAUGACGUCGGACAGCAACUCCUGCUUUUUAUACCUAAUCGUCAUCAGUUCUUUCAUGGAUAUUCCCAGCUGCAUAGUCAGUCAUGGAACUCAGAAAUAAACAUCAAGUUACACGCC